This 465-nucleotide ribosomal RNA is filed under the name uncultured bacterium. Its description in RNAcentral is "partial 16S ribosomal RNA". It matches the Rfam family "Bacterial small subunit ribosomal RNA", at positions 338 to 795 of the family's 1533-position model. The record is from RNAcentral.
CCUACGGGAGGCAGCAGUAGGGAAUCUUCCACAAUGGGCGAAAGCCUGAUGGAGCAACGCCGCGUGGGUGAAGAAGGUCUUCGGAUCGUAAAACCCUGUUGUUAGAGAAGAAAGUGCGUGAGAGUAACUGUUCACGUUUCGACGGUAUCUAACCAGAAAGCCACGGCUAACUACGUGCCAGCAGCCGCGGUAAUACGUAGGUGGCAAGCGUUAUCCGGAUUGAUUGGGCGUAAAGGGAACGCAGGCGGUCUUGUAAGUCUGAUGUGAAAGCCUUCGGCUUAACCGGAGUAGUGCAUUGGAAACUGGGAGACUUGAGUGCAGAAGAGGAGAGUGGAACUCCAUGUGUAGCGGUGAAAUGCGUAGAUAUAUGGAAGAACACCAGUGGCGAAAGCGGCUCUCUGGUCUGUAACUGACGCUGAGGUUCGAAAGCGUGGGUAGCAAACAGGAUUAGAUACCCCAGUAGUC